CAGCUCCAUUCCCCCGGCAGCUGUGCAGAGAGGCCUGCAGGUCCAAGCCAUCAGUAGCAGCCCCUGGGAUAUCCAGGACAUCAGCACAUAGAACCAGUAAAAGGGUCCUCCCUCAUAGCGACGCAUGUCAUAGACUCAGAUUUAUACAGACAAAAGCUGAGUAAACCAUGAAAAGAGUCUCUGGUAUUUUCAACAAUAUCACCACAGAGGAACCGUAUUGAUUUCCUUGUUACUGUGCUUCCUGGCAUCAGUUCGUAUCUGUGGAAUGAAGAAGGUGUCCUUGAUGUAAUUCCAAAUCUAACACUCUAUAACUGUAGGAUGACAUCCCUAGCCCUUUUAUAUAAUUGUUGUAACUAUUAAAGAAUAAAAGCAUAGAACAGGAAACGCCUAAAAAGACUGCUUCUACAGAUGAACUAUGGAAAUACCUCCUUAGUGACACUUUAAAACAAUCUGCACUGUACUAAGAAAACAGCACUUUGAACUAUCUGUAGACAUAGCAACUAACAGGAUGUCUGCCACACAGCACCAGCUGAAUACGUUCUUGAUAAAUGAGUAAAUGAUUGUUACGUGAAUGCAUGUUUCCAUUCCUGUCAUUAUCCUACAACAACUCCAAAGGGAAUACAAUAAAUUCUAUCCAAUGAAUGA
Molecule: non-coding RNA, 645 nt
Organism: Macaca mulatta (Rhesus monkey)
Lineage: Eukaryota; Metazoa; Chordata; Mammalia; Primates; Cercopithecidae
Source: RefSeq, a predicted model, not a curated record